AUUGAACGCUGGCGGCAGGCUUAACACAUGCAAGUCGAGCGGUAACAGGCCUUCGGGUGCUGACGAGCGGCGGACGGGGGAGGAAUGCAUAUGAAUCUGCCUAUUAGUGGGGGAUAAGACGGGGAAACUCGUGCUAAUACCGCAUACGUCCUACGGGAGAAAGCGGGGGAUCGUAAGACCCGGCGCUAUUAGCUGAGCCUAUGCCGGAUUAGCGAGUUGGUAGGGUAAAGGCCUACCAAGGCGACGAUCCGUAGCUGGUCUGAGAGGAUGAUCAGCCACACUGGGACUGAGACACGGCCCAGACUCCUACGGGAGGCAGCAGUGGGGAAUAUUGGACAAUGGGCGCAAGCCUGAUCCAGCCAUGCCGCGUGUGUGAAGAAGGCCUUCGGGUUGUGAAGCACUUUAAGUGGGGAGGAAGGUCAGUAAGUUAAUACCUUGCUGAAUUGACGCUACCCACAGAAUAAGCACCGGCUAACUCUGUGCCAGCCGCCGCGGUAA
RNAcentral lists this ribosomal RNA (498 nucleotides) under uncultured bacterium. RNAcentral's name for it is "partial 16S ribosomal RNA". It matches the Rfam family "Bacterial small subunit ribosomal RNA", at positions 30 to 523 of the family's 1533-position model. The record is from RNAcentral.